RNAcentral lists this transfer RNA (74 nucleotides) under Marmota monax (woodchuck). RNAcentral describes it as "tRNA.Ala". Lineage: Eukaryota; Metazoa; Chordata; Mammalia; Rodentia; Sciuridae. The record is from RNAcentral.
CUGGGAGUGGAGCUCAGUGGUAGAGCCCCUGCCUAGCAUGUUUGAGGCCCUGGGUUCCAUCCCCAGCACCUGGA